UACGAAGGGUGCAAGCGUUACUCGGAAUUACUGGGCGUAAAGCGUGCGUAGGUGGUUCGUUAAGUCUGUCGUGAAAGCCCCGGGCUCAACCUGGGAAUGGCGAUGGAUACUGGCGAGCUAGAGUGCGGUAGAGGAGAGUGGAAUUCCCGGUGUAGCAGUGAAAUGCGUAGAGAUCGGGAGGAACAUCAGUUGCGAAGGCGGCUCUCUGGACCAGCACUGACACUGAGGCACGAAAGCCAGGGGAGCAAACGGG
Molecule: ribosomal RNA, 253 nt
Filed under: uncultured bacterium
Lineage: Bacteria
Description: partial 16S ribosomal RNA
Rfam family: Bacterial small subunit ribosomal RNA
Source: RNAcentral